CAUAGGUUAAUGAGGCGAACCGGGGGAACUGAAACAUCUAAGUACCCCGAGGAAAAGAAAUCAACCGAGAUUCCCCCAGUAGCGGCGAGCGAACGGGGAGGAGCCCAGAGCCUGAAUCAGCAUGUGUGUUAGUGGAAGCGUCUGGAAAGGCGCGCGAUACAGGGUGACAGCCCCGUACACAAAAGCGCAUGUGCUGUGAGCUCGAUGAGUAGGGCGGGACACGUGGUAUCCUGUCUGAAUAUGGGGGGACCAUCCUCCAAGGCUAAAUACUCCUGACUGACCGAUAGUGAACCAGUACCGUGAGGGAAAGGCGAAAAGAACCCCGGCGAGGGGAGUGAAAAAGAACCUGAAACCGUGUACGUACAAGCAGUGGGAGCACAGGUUUACCUGUGUGACUGCGUACCUUUUGUAUAAUGGGUCAGCGACUUAUAUUCUGUAGCAAGGUUAACCGAAUAGGGGAGCCGGAGGGAAACCGAGUCUUAAUUGGGCGUUAAGUUGCAGGGUAUAGACCCGAAACCCGGUGAUCUAGCCAUGGGCAGGUUGAAGGUUGGGUAACACUAACUGGAGGACCGAACCGACUAAUGUUGAAAAAUUAGCGGAUGACCUGUGGCUGGGGGUGAAAGGCCAAUCAAACCGGGAGAUAGCUGGUUCUCCCCGAAAGCUAUUUAGGUAGCGCCUCGUGAAUUCAUCUCCGGGGGUAGAGCACUGUUUCGGCUAGGGGGCCAUCCCGGCUUACCAACCCGAUGCAAACUGCGAAUACCGGAGAAUGUUAUCACGGGAGACACACGGCGGGUGCUAACGUCCGUCGUGAAGAGGGAAACAACCCAGACCGCCAGCUAAGGUCCCAAAGUCAUGGUUAAGUGGGAAACGAUGUGGGAAGGCCCAGACAGCCAGGAUGUUGGCUUAGAAGCAGCCAUCAUUUAAAGAAAGCGUAAUAGCUCACUGGUCGAGUCGGCCUGCGCGGAAGAUGUAACGGGGCUAAACCAUG
RNAcentral lists this ribosomal RNA (988 nucleotides) under Salmonella enterica subsp. enterica serovar Enteritidis str. P125109. RNAcentral's name for it is "partial 23S ribosomal RNA". It matches the Rfam family "Bacterial large subunit ribosomal RNA", at positions 165 to 1191 of the family's 2925-position model. The record is from RNAcentral. Lineage: Bacteria; Pseudomonadati; Pseudomonadota; Gammaproteobacteria; Enterobacterales; Enterobacteriaceae.